UGCAGAUAUGAGUUACAUAUGAGGAUUAUUUCAAACAAAAUAAAACUUCAACAUAGUCGUCACAGACAGUGAGUUUGAUCCCAAAAUCAAGAAAAUAUGUCUCUAUGAUAAUGUGUGUUCUCCGAUUCCUUUUUCUGUCAGUCUGUCAGUGUCAGCCAGCUGUUAAUUUGUUCUUCAGGUCUGCAGCUGUCGGUCCGUCUGGUUCUGGUGGGCGUCAUCUUUAUUUCUUCAGCCGCUUUAGGGAUUUUCUUCAAGAUUAGAAGAUCCAAACAAAAUAAAGGACCUUCAGUAGAAACGCAGCAUUUCUCCGUCACACAGGACCACCAGGAGCAGGAGGAGAUCAGGGAGGAGGACAGAAACAGAUGAACAUCGUCUGUGGAAAUAUCCGCUGUAAUCCAGCAUAUACCCAACUGAUCUUCUAAAAUCGACUCACCAUCUGCCUGUGAUCAAGUAGAAAGGAAUUUUCUCAGCUCUCUGGGUUCAGGAAGUAGCGUUUAGUUCAGGAUGUUUGUGUUGAAUUAGUAUUUUACCCACUUAUCGAGUCACUGAAAACAUCACGUGUCCAAAGCCAAGUUCCUGAUUGGCAGUUGCGACGCGCUGACCUGCAGAAAUUCAAAUAUCUGAACUCAGGCCACGAUGUCCAAUUUGAAGUCUUGCUAAUGUUAGACCGUCGUGCCGCUCCAUCACUUAAAUCGCGCCACAGGACUUCAGAUCCCCUCAAGUUGUGUCUGUUGCAUCGACUUAACAGUGAAACUGGCUGCCUUUGUCGUUCAGUGUGAACACAGUAUAAAGUUACACCUCUAUUAAUUGAAGGAGCUCUCAAAUCAAACCCAAGAAAUGGAGAAAGAAAGUAGUGGUGUAAAAUUAUUAUUAUCCCGAUUAUUUAGUGCAAUAAAAAAUGUGGUUACGCUUCAUAAUAAGAUUCCUUAACAAGCUUUGUUUGCACAUUAACAAGCAUCAUUAAUGGGGUGUUAGUAUUUUAUUAGCACAAUAAGUCUAAUAAGGUUUAUUAAUAUACUUAGUAAGGUUCAUUACCAUCUAAAGUGAGACUGUUGUCUACAAAGAGCAUUUUAAUAAACUUCUUUAAAGCUGAACAAAUGCAUCGACUUUCUUUGUUAACAGGUUGAGUGUUUUGCAACACCUAAUCUAAAAUGUUACCCAACUGUUUACUUGCAUGAAUGUUUCAUCUGAACUCAGCUCUUCCAUUGCUCUCAGUGCAUGUCUUGGUGUCUGUGUACCAUUGUGUACGUGUUGCUGCUGUGACGUUGUCAAUGUCCAACUUUGUAGUUCUUUACAAAACGAACACAAACACGAUCACAACGUCAAAGCUAUCAUCUAUCAUGUAAGCCGGACGAGGCGUUUGUCAUUCUAUACUAACGGGGUGUGUGGAGGGAUGAUUGAACGGGACAGAAAACUGUGGAUUUAGGUUUGUCAACAUGUAUUAUGGUAUUAAUAAGAUGUUUGUGGUCAAUAUUUUUUUGGAUUGCGAAGAAAAGGCUUCCUACCAUUUUUAUGAGUUAAAUCUCAGCACUCUGGAUCUGAUGUUUUAUUCUUUUGCUUGCUUUUGUCUUAAUUGCUCACGAUUGUAAAUAAAAACGCCCCUUCUUGGUUAUAGGUUGACUUCAUAAUGCUAGUUUUUCAGUAGUCAUUUGAUCUUCUACUGUACCACGAUGUCAUGAUUGUAGCUGAAAAUACCUUAAAAUUACACAGCAAUUAUCAGAAUAAAAGUCUUUGCAAUUAAAAUUGAUUUAUUCACAAGAAAAAUAAAUAAUCACAUGACAGCAUUAAAAAAAAGAUCCCUCGCUCUAACCCCCAGAAGUUCUUAGGAGUAACCAAAUUCGUAGAAAUAAAAAUGCAGAAUGAAGAAAAGAUCAAGAAAAAAGUUUUAAAAUAAGUUCUGUGUUGAAACUCAGAUGACUUGACUACUGAAAAACAAUGUUAUCUUUUGACUCUUCCGUCACAGUGUUAAGAUGAAUACAGAAGUUAAACCACAAGGUCCACUCCACCGCCAUGUCUGCUGAAAGCUUAACUUCUGCUUUCACAUUCUUUUACUGGAGCUGCAGCUGUUUCCCAUCAGAGGAGUUUUGAGCCAAAUAAGGGAAAGCAUGCUGUAUUUUCUCAGAAAACAAAGGAAACACUUAUGAAAAAAAAGACUGUAAAUAUAAGGAAUGAAAACAGCAACUUAAAAUCAUGUGUCAUUCUCUAUGUUUCCCAUGAUAGAGAAUGACACAUCAGAAAGUCUGCGGCAAAAGCUUAGAGUUAUCAGGGUGUUUUUUGUGGCUGUGGUUGUUUGACUUUCUGAAAAGAGUGUCACAAUUUUCUGUACUUAAAAAAAAAACUUCUGCAUUUUUAGAUUUUUUUUUUUUUUUACACAUUGCAGAAAGUCUCUACUUGAAGACAAUAACACUUGUUUCUAAUGAAGCUGCAAACAUAAAAUGCUUUUUUACAAUUCGUACCUGUGAAGUUUGAGGCUUUUCUUUUUCUGUUUUUUCUGGUUUUAGUUGUGCAGUCAUGAUGAAAGGAGGAGGAAAGUGCUUGAUGAAGGGAAAAAAGUUUGUUGAUUUCGAGGAAGGUGAAUAAAAUCCAGAAACUGGUAUGGGUGGUGGUCAGUGCAGUAAAAAAGGUGUCCAAGUGGUCAAUCAGAUUGGAGGAUGAAGAUGACAGAGGCAGGAACUAGAAAACACCAGUGUACUCUCUUAACGGGAGUGGGAUCAAUAACACAAGACAUUAGCUGACAAGUAUAGGGUGGUGGAAACAGUCUUAAAUAAGCCAGGCUGAGUAGAGAUGAGUUGGAGGCGUGUCAGGAGUCCCUGUUAUCCAGCACACCUGUUGAGACAAAACAGAAAAACAGCAAAAAGGCAAGAAGACAGGACUAGGAGAGGGAGACAGAGGGACACGACUCUGACUCAGCCACGUCGACCGUCUGAGUCAGCAGCUCCCUGCCUUCCCAAAUCUAACUAUUAAAAAGAAACAAACAAAGCCCGCAAAUCAAGACUACCAACGUCAAACCCCAAACUAAAAUAACAAA
Molecule: long non-coding RNA, 3028 nt
Organism: Oryzias melastigma (Indian medaka)
Lineage: Eukaryota; Metazoa; Chordata; Actinopteri; Beloniformes; Adrianichthyidae
Exons: 3
Source: RefSeq, a predicted model, not a curated record